This 263-nucleotide ribosomal RNA is filed under the name uncultured bacterium. RNAcentral describes it as "partial 16S ribosomal RNA". It matches the Rfam family "Bacterial small subunit ribosomal RNA", at positions 91 to 354 of the family's 1533-position model. The record is from RNAcentral.
CUUAGUGGCGGACGGGUGAGUAACGCGUGGGUAACCUGCCUUACACUGGGGGAUAACACUUAGAAAUAGGUGCUAAUACCGCAUAAGCGCACGAAGCCGCAUGGAUUUGUGUGAAAAACUCCGGUGGUGUAAGAUGGACCCGCGUCUGAUUAGCUUGUUGGCGGGGUAACGGCCCACCAAGGCGACGAUCAGUAGCCGGCCUGAGAGGGUGGACGGCCACAUCGGGACUGAGACACGGCCCAAACUCCUACGGAAGGCAGCAG